UUUUACAGCCGCCUCUCCCUCUUAGUCUCUUCCCUGCGGAGUGCGGACCCUGCCCUUGCCUUGCUAGUUGCUUCCGAGUUCAGCAGCCUUGGCAGGAGGGGCUUACGGAGGACUGGAGGAAGAGAAGAGGGCUCUCGCCUCUCCGUGGAAGCAAAUUUGCGCCUUUACCUUCUGCACCUUCUUCUUGCCGAUCUAAAUCACUCAGGUAGUCAGGUUUUAUCUUCAAUUUCAAUUUAAUACAAAAAAUCAAAGUAUAUACAAACAAUUACUUAUAUAAAUUAUUAGCCCUAGUAAGUAGUAAUAUAAAUAUAUAAUACUACAUUGAAUGUGAAUUGUUGAUUUUCUGUGACUUCUGUCUAAACUGUGCUGUACAUUUGCGUGUGUGUAUUAUUUGCCUUUCAUAGUAUUUGUGGUUGACCCUUGGACUAGUGGUAGAUUAUUUAUGAGUUUAUCAUUUGGGAUGAUUAGAAAGAUUUUUUCUUGUGGGUGUCUACUUUGAUUCAAAAAAAUAUUAUUCGACUCUUAGCAAUUGAUGAAAUUAUUAUGAAAUGUUUAAAUUGAUGAAAUUAUUGAUUAGCAAUUGAUGUUUUUAUUUAUAUUAGAUUAUGGAUAAAUACUUGAUUAAGCGACAAAGAACUGUUGAUUCUUCUAAUAAUCAAUUAUCAAGUUCCGAAGCAACCGAAAGAAGCUCUUCAAGCGUCAAUAAAUAAAUUUUUUUUAUUGAUGUAUUUUGUCCCCCCUUAAAAUAUGUUCUGGUUCUGCCACUGUCUGGGCCAAUAGACUCGACUCCUGUUAUUUACCGAGUUAGAUCUCACUGUUUUUUGUUCAUACUUCAUAGGGUUGCCUGCUUGAUUUUGUUUAAAUAUUUUAUGUGCAUCGGAGAUGCAGUGCCACGUGAUCAUGUCAUACUCCAGGACAACCAAUGGAACCAAGUAGUUAGUGAGCCAUUUGAUCUCCACAUGGCUCCAUGCAUAUUAUUUAAACAAGUGAAGGCAUGUGCAGCAUUGUACUCUUUUUUUGCAUUUCCAAUGCUCGAGUUACAUCUUAUAUGCACAACUACCCUAAAGUAUUUUGUUUGGUUAAAUCAUUGUUUUGGUGUAGGAUGCAGUAGGUAUUCGUGCAUUGGACAGAUUAGUUCAAGAAGAAGACUCAUCAGCACAACCAAAACUACGGAAAUUAAGUGCAGAAGAAAAUUUCAUGGGAUAACCAAGCCUCCUUUGGCUUCUUGAGCACACCAGGAGGUCUUGUAUCCGUCUCUGAUAAAAGUAGGAAUGUUAAAUUUCGCCUAAAACUAGCAAAUAAAAAAAUUCAUGGGAUUCUCUCAUAAAGAAAAUUACGUGCAGAAGCUGAAUGGUUAUUAUUAUUGACUUGAUUGAAGUAAUACGAUCAGACCUGUCUAACUAAAGAAUUUAAUGGGAAUACCAAUGUGAGCUUGUCAUAGCAAUGUGGGGUUGAUAUAGCUACGUCGUGGUGGUCGUAAAGGAGUGGCAGCAGAAUCUUACUUCGAUAGUUGUCUCCAUUUUUAUUUUGUUUUACUUUUUUGUAAAACUUAUACUAUUACAGUUCAAUUCUAGAGCGGUUCCC
RNAcentral lists this long non-coding RNA (1584 nucleotides) under Panax ginseng (ginseng). Its description in RNAcentral is "long non-coding RNA (PGIN_LNC015556)". Lineage: Eukaryota; Viridiplantae; Streptophyta; Magnoliopsida; Apiales; Araliaceae. The record is from RNAcentral.